UAAGGAAUAUUGCUCAAUGGGAGAAAUCCUGAAGCAGCAACGCCGCGUGGAGGCUGAAGGGUCUAUGACUUGUAAACUCCUGUAAAGAAGGACAAAAUUCCCAUUUGUUGGGAGAUGAUGGUACUUCUGGAGUAAGCCCCGGCUAACUACGUGCCAGCAGCCGCGGUAAUACGUAGGGGGCAAGCGUUGUCCGGAUUUACUGGGGGUAAAGGGUGCUCAGGCGGAUUUGUAAGUCAGAGGUGAAAUCUUACAGCUUAACUGUGAAACUGCCUUUGAUACUGCAAGCCUAGAGUAUGGAAGAGAGUGAUGGAAUAUCUGGUGUAGCAGUGAAAUGCGUAGAUAUCAGAUAGAACACCAAUGGCGAAGGCAGUCACUUGGUCCAUUACUGACGCUAAAGCACGAAAGCGUGGGUAGCAAACA
Molecule: ribosomal RNA, 420 nt
Filed under: uncultured bacterium
Lineage: Bacteria
Description: bacterial SSU rRNA
Rfam family: Bacterial small subunit ribosomal RNA
Source: RNAcentral